This 253-nucleotide ribosomal RNA is filed under the name uncultured bacterium. Its description in RNAcentral is "partial 16S ribosomal RNA". It matches the Rfam family "Bacterial small subunit ribosomal RNA", at positions 524 to 776 of the family's 1533-position model. The record is from RNAcentral.
UACAGAGGUGGCAAGCGUUGUUCGGAAUUACUGGGCGUAAAGGGCGCGUAGGCGGCCUGCUAAGUCGAACGUGAAAUCCCCGAGCUCAACUCGGGAACUGCGUCCGAUACUGACAGGCUUGAAUCCGGGAGAGGGAUGCGGAAUUCCAGGUGUAGCGGUGAAAUGCGUAGAUAUCUGGAGGAACACCGGUGGCGAAGGCGGCAUCCUGGACCGGCAUUGACGCUGAGGCGCGACAGCGUGGGGAGCAAACAGG